AUAAGUUUUUUAAACAGUAUAAAAUCCUUCAAGAAUAAUAAAAAUGGCUUGAUGAACCCCAGGGAUAAAAAUUUUAUCAUUGAAACAAAAUUUCAAUAAGAUAAUAAUCCUAGAAUCUAACACAGUGCCUAAAACUAGAAUGCCAAACACCAGCAAUUUUUCCUCCUAGCUUUUUAAUUUUCUCCCAUACACACUAAAAAGGAAAUCUUACUUCCAAGCCUAGAAAUAGGCAAUUUUUAAUAUUUAUUGUUGCAAGGAACAAUAAAUAGCUCCUCUAUUUUCACAAAUAAGUGCUGACAUUGAGCCAAAAAACAUUUCUUUUACUUUCACAACUGUAAGCAUUAACAGGAAUAAUUCCUCUCUCAUUAGUUUCUAGUCAGUCUCUUUCAUUACACUUCCUUUAAUUGCCAUCACAGAAAUGUCUGCAUUUUAUAUUCCAUGAUUCUAAGGUGUUUAAUUUAUAUACCAUCUCCACACUUAGUGUCUUAUAUGCUCUUCCAGGAAUUUUUAAAGUUUUAUUAUACUGGCAAGAAAAGAUUUAGUAAACUCAGAAUGUCUUCAGGACUUCUCAGAUAUAUACCUGUAUUAAAUGUACAAAAACUCUUACAGUUCCAGAUGGUCCAGAUUGGAGGUUUAUAUGGUGAACCUCCUUUUCCUCACCAGCUCAUACCUUAACCCUAGGCAAUACAGGUUUUUUUUCCCAUUGUUCUAUGAACAACAUGGCCCUUGAACUAUAGGUUGCAUUUAAUUUUCUUGGGUGGAACACAGGGUCAAAAUACAAAAAAUUAGAAAAUUUGCACAAAGAAAAUCUACAAUCCUUUCGACUAGCUUAAGUCUGGUGUAUUUUCAACUGUUCUCUCUUCAAUACCCGGGACUGAAUCCAGAGCGUCAUGUUAUGUUAGACAAGUCCUCUACCACUUGAGCUAAGCCUUCAACCCCCAGCUAGUCUCUUUUUAUGUAUAUCAAUACAAUACUUUUGUUUUAAUAAAAGGCAUAUUCUGAUUUGAAGUCUGUUUCUUCCAUCUAUAGAUAUAUCAGUUUCUCACACUGACAUUCUUCUAUAAUGCUUGCUGCAUUAAUUCUAUCAUAUCAGGGGUCUUUACCAUAAAUUCCUUAAUGCUUUCCCUAGACACUUAAGAGUUUAUAUUUUUUCCAAAAGCAUAAAGCUUUGCUCACAGCUCUGACGACUUCCUUGAGAUAAACUCUGAAUGGUACUGGUGGCUCAAAAGCCAUGUCCAUUUUAUGACUUUUAACAUACUGAAAAGUUAAGAGUGUUCAUCUUCUCUACCUGUUCCUUCACAUUGGUUGAUGAUUUCAUUCUGAAAUCUGAAAAUCUGAAAAGAAAAAACAUGUCAAACUCUUUUCAUGCCAUUCGUGUUACUUUUCCUUUCUUUACCAAUCAUACGGGUUUACCCACACCUCCAAUCAAUCUUCCACAUUUGAAUUUGCCAACAUUGUUCAAGAGAUUGUUUCACCAGAAAAAUCCAAACCCUUAUCCACUUCACCCAACCCAUGCCUACCCAUCCCAGAUCCUACUGUACUAGUUGCUUCCAGGAAUAUGACACUUUACACAUCCUUGUCUUCAUAUACAUAGACUGCAUCUUAUAAAACAGUUACUCCAUGGUAAGGGCCCCACAGAGUCCCAAUAUGCUAAUACCCCAGUGAUGUUUAAUAAUUUUCAUCCAUAUGGGUCCUCCGUGGAGGAAAAGGAGAAGAAACUCCCUUAAAGGCUGGAAUGCAAGGGACAAGCCUUUGAGAUUUUGAAAACUGUAAGAGAAGGCCAUCAGAGAAUCCAACAGCAGACAUUCAAGCAAGGAAAAUUUAAGUAUUGUCCCUAGUAAUGCCUGAGAUACCAAAUAGAGCAAGGACCCACGUAGUCCGGCAGCCUGGAGUGCGCAGGGUGAGACGACCUACAAGGAGUGCUGGACUCUCCGUGACCCGUCGCCGGGAUUCUGGUUUCUAUUUUUAGGUAGCAGUGCUUUAUUCUCCAAGCUGGAGUUCCUGGAAACGAUGGCAAGACCAAAUGUUCCUUUUCCAUCCUUCCGGGGAAGGGUGGUAGCCCUGUUUGUAAGUGCUGCCUGGUGAGCCUGCGCUUUGCGGCUCGCUGGUGAGCCUGGAGAUUGGGCUGCUGCCAGAGCGCUGGGAGGCUGGGGAAUGGGCGACCAGCUGAACCCAGUAUCAGCCCAACCCCGGCCACGCCCCGUCCCCCCCUCGAGGGCCUGCGCCGAGGCCACGCCUUGCUGCCCGCCGAUUGGCUCAGCCCGCUCCGCCUGGAGUCACUUCCGUCUGGCACGCGGCCCCGGCCACGCCCCUGUCUUGCGGCCCGGCCGACUUUGUGAGUUUGGGGGAUUGUUGCGUCUGAUAACCAGGCUCAAAAAGGGCACCCCUGCCGGGCUGGCGCUCAGUCUCCCCCGUCCAUCACCCGCAAGAUGAUGGCGUCUUCAGCGCCGCGCACGACGCCUCUCCGCUGCGGCGUGAGCCCCAGUGCCUUCCAGUGGUUCCUGAUUGGGAUCUUUGCGGUGGCGGUGGCAGUCCUGCUGUCUCCAUACUCCGAUGCUUGUGAAUUGCCCCCACCAUUUGAAGGUAUGGAGCCCACUACUACACCCAAACCCUAUUAUGAGGUUGGGGAAAAAUUACAGUAUAAGUGUAAAAAAGGAUAUCUAUAUCUGCUCCCGUAUCUCACCAUUGCUACCUGUGAGCGGAAUCAUUCAUGGACACCUAUUACAGAUGACGGUUGUCUUAAACACCAGUGUAAUUUUCUAUAUAAUCCUCCGUAUGGCCAAGUACACUAUAUAACUGGAGGUUUUUCAUGGGGAAAUAAGGUUCUCUUUACUUGUCAUGAGGGUUAUUACUUAAUUGGUAAUGCAACUCUGAAUUGUGAGCUUAAAGAUGAUGAUGCAUUUUGGGACAGUAAUCCCCCACGAUGUGAAAAGAUCUUGUGUGCACCACCUCCAAAAAUAAAAAAUGGAACACACACCUUCACUGAUAUAGAAGUAUUUAAAUAUCGUGAAGCAGUAGUCUACAGUUGUGAUCGUAUCCCUGGACCAGAUCAAUUUUCACUUGUUGGAAAGAGUAUGCUUUAUUGUGCUGGUCACGGGGUCUGGAGUAGUGCUGCUCCUGAGUGCAAAGUGGUCAAAUGUCCGUUUCCAGUAGUCGAAAAUGGAAAACAGGUAUCAGGAUUUGCAAAGAAGUUUUCCUACAAUGCGACUGUUAUGUUUGAGUGCAACAAGGGUUAUUACUUCUUUAAUGACAGUGACAUCGCUACUUGUGACAGUAAUAGUACCUGGCACCCCUGGCUCCCAAGAUGUCUUAAAGUGCCACCUCCUCCCAGUAAAGAACUUCCAAGUUUUCAUUCAGUACCAACUCCUCCCAGUACCAAACCUCCAAUUUCCACGGUCUCAGGAUAUCCCAAUCCCCGUGAAGGACUAUUUGACCAAGAAUUAGAUGCAUGGAUCAUUGCUUUGAUUAUCAUUAUUGCAAUUGUUGCAGUUGCUGUAAUGUGUCUCUUCCUGUACAGAUUUUUCGAAAACAGGAAGAAAGGAAAACCACAGGCUGCUGCUGAACAGACUUGGCAUGAGGCUUCGAAGUUGCUGCUUUUCCCCCUACAUCAUAACCGAUUUCAAAUGGUGCUAGACAAAAACAGACUCUGAACACCAGGAGAAAUCGGUCAGCCUGUGUAAGAGAUGGGCCAGUGGUGCUCCUCAGGUCUGCACCUCAGGGCAGGUGGCAAGGCUGAGUUCAGGAUACUACGACAACCGGCGAGUACUCCAGGCAUCCUCUGGGAGCAGGUCAGCAGCGCUGAUGUGGAUGAAACAGCCCUCUAGGUUCAAAUAGCAAAAGGAGACGAACCCAUCCCAGGAGCAGCUCCUCUGGAGUCCGCCUCUGCCAUGCUGCAAUUCUUACUCCUAAAACACUGAUUUCAAAUGGUGCUAGAUACAAAGAUGGAAAAAUCUAAGCCACCAUGUGAAACCAGCUUCCAGAAGAAGAGGAUCUCACUGAAGAACGCAGGGAGGUGCAAGUGGACGACCCAGUCUCUGCCCUGAGGAGAAAUAUCUUCUUGCUGUUUGUUCUGCUUGUAACACGAUGGAACGACCCGUUAGAAAACACAGAGGGGAGUCACACAGUGCUGCUCAAAGCAACAGCAAAGUCAUGGCCAAUGCUCCAAACAGACAAGAGCAAUACAACACUCGCUAAUUCUAACUUUACGACUAGCCACUAUACAUUAUUACGUAUGAUAAAAUAAAGCCACUAUUGAAACAUUUACAUUUGUAGUGCCCUGCAUUUAUAUAGGAUUUCCCAGCAUGCAAAGUGUUUACAGAUAUAUUAUCUCACAGUACCAGGACACAAGCACCCUACAUGCUCUCUAGCAACCACUCAACAAAGGUGAGUUUCACCUGUGCCAGGGCAAUUCUUCCAUGUGCCCUAUUCAGACAGAGCAUGGCUCCUCCUUCCCAUCCUGUAUGUAAGUAUCAGAAUAUUCAAAUAUGACUCCAUUAAGUGCCAAUCUGAUUUAACCUCUGGGAAGACUUAAAGAGCUAGUAUCCUAUCAUUGCAUUACAAAGAUAAUUCUCUAACACAAAAAUUAAGUUUUGUUUUAAAAUUUGCCUGAAAAUAAGGUUUACUUACUAACCAUGUUCCAAAUUAGAUUUCGUCUUUCCCAUUAUCUUUUUUUUUUUUUUUUGGUGAUUUAACACUAAGAAAAUAUGUGUGCUUCACGCUGAUGUCAUAACCCAGAGAAAGAAAAGAAAAAGAAUAGAAGCUGCAUGUUUUAGGUUUCCUACCAACUCUUUAGGCCUCCAGAUAUAGGCUUAACUAUUUUAUGGUAACAUUGUGCAGCUAUGGGAGGAAAGAAAUGAACAUCAAGAUUUGUGUGAUUUAAUUUUCACAAGAGUCCUGCAAAGUGGGUUUUGUUCCAAUUUUUACAGAACAAAAAUAUAUGGCUUGUCUACAGUCAUAAGAUCAAUAGAUAAAUAUCCCAGGUCUGAUUCCCCAGUCUGUGUUCCUGCAUCUCUGCCCCCUGCUGCCAGCUCCAUAGCUUGACUAUCACCUAAUUUUCGGCAAGCUAUGGGAAGGGGGAAUGUAGGUGAGGCAAGGUAUCAGCAUGGAAGUUGGAUAUUGAAUAUAUAACACAUUAUACCCAGGUGAAUUAGGGGCAUGAUUUUGGUUCUACAAGGAGUCAGAUGGUUGAGGGGAGCCAGUCUUUCCUCUCCUGCACCUCUGGUAACUCUGUGGUCCUCCCCAGCAAGAGGGAAGAUGCCAGCAAUAAAUCCACCCUAGUGAUUCUGACACAGCAAUAGGCUAUGCAGCCUACGCUGAGAUUUUCUAAGGGCUUGGUGACAGGUGGGAGAGCUGAAGGGCAGAUCUGCGUACAGGUGCUCUGAGUGAUGACAUCUGGAACCAGCUCUGAGGCUUUGUGAACCAGGUGGCAUCGAGGGCUCUAGGGUCAGGGGUGAAUGUUACACAUGAUGGCUAUUACCAGGAUCUAAAUCCUGUAGAAUGAGGGGGGCUAGAGAGAUUUACACUUGAUUAUUCUCAGUUUUUCUACUCUUCAUUUUAGCCAAACUCUCCCUUAGUAACUUCCUGUUGCCAGUAUCUACAAAGCCCCUUCCCGUGUACUUGCACAGGUGUUCUGCAGGAAUGCAGAAGGUAUGCUUCCUUCUACAAGGCCCUGCCUGUGCUGUGCCCUCUGGCUGGAAUCUCUCCAUCCACUCCCUCACCUACCACCCCCAAUCAUCCUUCAAUCUCAGCUCAAGCAAGCCACCCCCGAGUCUAGCCUGGUUUGCUCUCCUGAAGAAUGCACCUACCUCAUUUGGUAGUCAGUGUGAUGUUGAACUAUUGUCUCUCCUGCUACCCAGGAAAUGAAGCUCCACGCCAGAAUUCAGGGAAAGUUCUGUGUCUAGCAAGAGAGCAACUAUCAGAGAGAACCAACAGACGGCAGUCAGGGGCCCAUUCUUGGGUUCUAAAACCUAACUCCUAGUUCUGGAAGAAGAGGUAAGAAGCCAUUGGCAGUGCACUGCUUUACACUAAAAUAAGAAGGGGAGGCUUGUGGAGUGGUUCAAGUGGUAGAGCGCCUGCCUAGCAAGCAUCAGGCCCUGAGUUCAAACCCCAGUACCACCAAAAAUGGGGGGGGAAGUAAUCCUAACAUACAAAUCUUUUGCCUUUCCAAUCCCAUUGGUAAAAGGGUCACUGAGGUCUCAGUUCUCCCAUCAGAAGUGGGGAUCUCUCCUCUUGAAGUCAGCUGAGCAAUGUCUCUUCUCUGAAACAAGCUGGCAGGUCUUCAUUAGUUGAGGGGUACCCAGGUAAUCUGACUAGGACUACAAGGGGGCCUAGCUCUCCCUGGGACUGAGCCUGAGGGCCACCUAGAUCUGUAAGAAGAUAUCCCAUGAAAUCCCCAGUCCUCUGGAGGCUCUGCUAUCCCAUGAGAGCAAUGGAAUUUACCCCCAUCCCUGCCUAAGGAGCCCAAGCAAACUGGCCAUGUUGAAGGGCUUGGGACUGCCUAAGAAAGUAAACCACCCAUCCAGGGAGUGGGGCUGUCAGGCCUAAGAAGUGCCACUGGGCAGGGAAGAAAUCCGGGGGAAUCAUACCCCAGCCCCAGCCUUCUUCUAUACCCACAUUCCAUCUGGUGGCGUUUCUCCCUCCUAUGCCAGGAUACUCUUCUACCCAGGUAAGGACCUGAAGGUGAAGGAACUUCUGCUUGGCCCAAAUGCCAAGAACAGGGCCCUGCCACUUGCCCCGAAUAAGCCUCGGUGUCUUUACUUGUAAAAAGGAGGCUAGGACUGGUCACCACACAUGCAAAUGCUCAGAGGGCUUGGGCAAGAAACACAGAAAGGCAGCAACAGUUUGCAGCAAAGAUACAGUGACCUGGAGGGGCCAUAUUCUGUCUAGAAGCAUACAAAAUCAGGUAUAGAAAACAAAACAAAAAAAAUGUGCAAGCCAAACAAAACACACCUGCGGGUUAAACACUUCAUGGGCUGUUGGUUAAAAACAAAGAUUCCAAACACCAUUUCUACUUUAUUGUAUAAAUGAUGCUGUGUUUUUUACAAUCCUAAAUAUCCUGGGCCCAGCACAGUGUCCAGAAAAAUUACCUGGGAGGAAAACGGGAAGGAGAGGGACUCCUUGUUUGUGAAAUCCAUAAGCAAACCCGCUGACCCAGUGAUGUUCGCCCUGGGAACCUCAUCCUGUUCGCCCUGGGAACCUCAUCCUGCUCGCCUGGCUGUGCUGGCCCAAUGUGUUCCUACGCAGAACGUGGGAAGGUUCCUGCCAAGGCAGCAGCUUCUCCCUCCUGACCUAGCACUGGGUGCUGAGUCACAGCUACUUACGUGACUGAUGCAAGCUCCAGCCAGAGUGGGGUGACUGAUGCAAGCUCCAGCCAGAGUGGGGGAGGGUGCCGGAAACUGAGCCCAUUGUCAGUCUUCUUGCCUCUGGGAAGGCUGGUCUAGGGGUUCCUGGUGAUGGUGGGAUGGGGUGUAGGGAAGGUUUUGCUUUUUGAAAAAAAUAGGGGACACCCUGCUCUCCAGACAGCCCCAGACUAUUGUGUAUGAGAACUGAACAGGCCGCUCAGCUUCCUGUCACUCUCAGCAGCAGCCCAGGCCCAGUGUCCCGGACAUUUUGUCUUUAGCUGUCAGGGUAGGGCCUGCUGCCAACAAGCUGUGGUUAAUGAAUCAGAGGAAGGGUGAUAAAAUGAAGAGUAUAUGCUGAGGGUAACAUGGGUAGAGAGGAACAUAGAGCUGGAUGGCCCAAAAUUCAAAAAGGAGGGCUCAGCAUUCAGGACCACUGCACUUUUGAGGCACUGAAUUCCAAAGUGGGAACAACAUCUUGAGAGUGAGCUUCUCAAGAGCCCACUUAGGUAACAGUGGGCCCAGCAUCAGCUUUCCUGGCUUCCCUUAGCUCAGAGGGAUGGAGGUCUAUGUUCCGGGGCAGCUGCACUCCUAAAAGUUAGGCUUCUGUCCCUCCACACUACUGACUGACCAAACCCGGGUCUUAAAACCUCCCAGACUCAGUGUCUGGCACUUCGGCCCUGUGUCCAGACACCGGCUAGAGAGGAGGGUGCACCAUGGUUGCCCUGCCCAAGAUGAGAUGGGCAUGGGGGCAAGCUGGGAACAGUGGGGAGCAAGGGAGGAAGGAAGGAAGGAUGGAGCCAAGGCUGGAGCUCAAUAUUCCAUGCUCCCCUGGCUACAGAUAGGGCUUAGCUCUCACAGGGGAGGAUGGGCACUGCCCAAAAUGCUUUCAAGGAAGCCAUAGCUUUUUACGAAAGGAAAGGUGAGUAUGCCGAUGGUCUGUUACACAAACACAAUGCCCAUCACACAGUUCACAGGUCAUAGACCAACGUGCUCCAAAGGAAAACCACCAACGCCCCUCCGUCGUCGUCAUCACUCCCUACUCAUCUAUUUGGCUCAGUGGAGAUGGACACAGAAGUUAAACUUGGGCCUCAGGUGAGACCUAACGAACUCUACAGACAGGAGCAGAGGUGCCCCAGAGCCCAGCCUUCCUACCUGCUCCAGGCAGAGCUGCUCACCCCCACCUUUAGCUGACAAGAAGUAACCAACAGACACAGUGUCCUACCCAGUACCACACUCACAGGGCUGCGUGCGAGGUCCCCAGAAGCUCCUCUGGAGCCUGCCAGGCCUCUCCGGAGGAGAACAGCACCUCACACAGGACAGGACAUACAACAGUCAGACAUCCUCCCCAAAGCACAGCCCAAGGCCGGCACCAGGAAGCCAGAGUGGAUCCACCAACCUCCCAGGAGCAGUUCUAAGCAGUGCCUGGGCACACACCUGGCGGAGCACAUGGUCUGGGGCACACCCUGUGAGGUGGAGUCACUCCAGUUCCCCAGCUGGGGGAGGGAGGCUGGGCCAGGCAGAGGUAGGUCUGAGUCCAAAGCCAAUGCAAGCCGGUUUCUCUCCUGCUUCCCCUUUGGCUGGCCCAGCUGUAGCUGCACGUACAUUGCUAUUACAGCCUCAUUCUGUUAUCGGGACCUCUGUUUGCCAGUCUCAAGAACAGUGAGUAGCAGUAGAGGGAAGAGGAGGAGGAGGAGGAGGGAGGGGUACAGGGAAGAAGGAAGGGAAGGGAGAGGAGGUGAGAGGAAGCUUCAUGGUCUAAUGCAUUCCCCUCACUUGAGAGACAGGGGAACACACACAACUUCCCCUUUUUAAGUGCUUCUCUGCCCUCCUUUCAUUUCAGUUCCUUCCCCUCUGGACUGGGGAUGGCCCAGCGAGUGAACUAGGCAGGGGCAGGCGCCCAGGUACCCAGCCAACUGGGCUCUCGCCCGGCUCCAGCUCAGGCCUGGCACGCUCCCUGGGGCCGUUACCCGGCAUGCCCUUCUCCUUGUUGGGAGGCCUCGCCCUCUUGUUUUCAAAGUUUUAUAACAGUAUUGUUUGUUGUCCAGCAGAUUAAA
This is a non-coding RNA of Castor canadensis (American beaver), 9394 nucleotides long. Lineage: Eukaryota; Metazoa; Chordata; Mammalia; Rodentia; Castoridae. The record is from RefSeq and is a predicted model, not a curated record.